AACUUCAGCUGCAGAGACUGGCAGAUGGAAACAGGACCUGUAAACUGUUCAGUGUCAUCAGACGAGCUGAUGGGUUUCUAGGAACAAACGCUGUGAGAGAUUUAUUCACACAAACAGGCGAGUCCAGAGAAAGCAGAAAACAAGAAGACGAAACAGAAAAAGAUCGUCGCACACGGCGGCUCCACGUUCAGCCUCCUGCUGCACAGAAACACUGAAGCAUCGUCUUAAAUCCACCAGCCCAGCAGGAAAUCUGAAAACUGAAAUAUUCAAGCAUCUAAAAGACACAGUUUGACCGACGUCCACGCUGCACAGCAGAAAGUCUGCAGAGCUCAGAAGAACUCCACCGUUUCACUUUGUGUUCUUCGGCAGACUUCAGACCUCGAUGAAGGCCACAGGCUGAGACACGUCGGUCUCAGUGAAACUGUUCAGUCCACCUGAACAGGAUCAGCAGGUGUGAUAAAUAAACAGUUUCCAUGUUAUUGUGAAUAAUAUCACAGCACAUUCCUGAGAAACAGACGC
This is a long non-coding RNA of Astatotilapia calliptera (eastern happy), 519 nucleotides long. The record is from Ensembl. NCBI's taxonomy places the organism in Eukaryota, Metazoa, Chordata, Actinopteri, Cichliformes, Cichlidae.